RNAcentral lists this small RNA (117 nucleotides) under Skeletonema marinoi. Its description in RNAcentral is "partial Betaproteobacteria transfer-messenger RNA". The record is from RNAcentral. Lineage: Eukaryota; Bacillariophyta; Thalassiosirophyceae; Thalassiosirales; Thalassiosiraceae.
GUAACGGGAAGGAGGCUGCGUGCCAAGAAAGCAUUGGAAGCAGUCAAAAAAGAUCAAACUGAGAUGGAUGAGCGGUAUGAAACAGUCGCACAAAAGCGGUCAGAACUUGAGGACGCC